GACAGAGGGUGCAAACGUUGUUCGGAAUUACUGGGCGUAAAGCGUGUGUAGGCGGUCCACUAAGUCGGGUGUGAAAGCCCUGGGCUCAACCCAGGAAGUGCACUCGAAACUGGCGGGCUAGAGUACUGGAGAGGUUGGUGGAAUUCUCGGUGUAGAGGUGAAAUUCGUAGAUAUCGAGAGGAACACCGGUGGCGAAGGCGGCAUUCUGGACCGAUAUUGACGCUGAGGAGCGAAAGCCAGGGGAGCAAACGGG
Molecule: ribosomal RNA, 253 nt
Filed under: uncultured bacterium
Lineage: Bacteria
Description: partial 16S ribosomal RNA
Rfam family: Bacterial small subunit ribosomal RNA
Source: RNAcentral